This 745-nucleotide non-coding RNA is filed under the name Homotoma ficus. The record is from RNAcentral. Lineage: Eukaryota; Metazoa; Arthropoda; Insecta; Hemiptera; Carsidaridae.
UAAUAUAUUUUAUUUUAGUAUGCAUAUUUUCUUGUUUUCUUUAUUUUACAUACGAUAUUUUGUUUUUAAUAGUCUUUUUUGUAGUAAAUAUUUUUUUUGAUUAAAUUUAGAUUUUGAAAAAGUAAUAGAAAAAAAAAUUAACUUAUUUUGUGCCAGCAGUUGCGGUUAUACAAUUGAUUUUAAGAAAAUUUAUUUAUUAAUUUAGUUAUUUAAAAUUAUUAGGUAAUAAAUUUAAAUUUAGGGGUAAAAUUUAAAUUUGAUUGGCUUAUUUAUUUAUAGUAAUUAUGAAAUUAAUUAUAAAACCAGGAUUAGAUACCCUGUUAUUUUAACUUAAAAUUAUUGGAGUAGUAUUAGCUAAAAUCUUGAAACUUAAAAAAUUUGGCGGUAUUUUAUCUUUUUAGAGGAACCUGUUUUCUAAUUGAUAAUCCACGACUUUAUUUACUUUAAUUAUUUUACUUGUAUACCGCUGUCAUGAAUUUAUUUUAAAUUUACUUUCUUAUUGUCUUAAUUUUACUUUAUGUUAGGUCAAGGUGCAGUUUAUUAAAGCUUUAAAUGGGUUACUAUAAAAAUUAUGAAUGAAUAAAUUAAAUGUUUUAUUAUUGAAAAAGGAUUUAAUAGUAAAUUUAAAUUUAGAGAAAUUUUAUGAAUAAGAUUCUAAAAUAUGUACACAUUGCCCGUCACUCUUAUUUACUAAUUAAGAUAAGUCGUAACAUAGUAGGUGUACCGGAAGGUGUAUCUGGAAUUA